GCUUCUAGGAGGCAGGACAGGGUUCUCUAG
This 30-nucleotide non-coding RNA is filed under the name Cricetulus griseus (Chinese hamster). The record is from RNAcentral. Lineage: Eukaryota; Metazoa; Chordata; Mammalia; Rodentia; Cricetidae.